RNAcentral lists this ribosomal RNA (253 nucleotides) under uncultured bacterium. Its description in RNAcentral is "partial 16S ribosomal RNA". It matches the Rfam family "Bacterial small subunit ribosomal RNA", at positions 524 to 776 of the family's 1533-position model. The record is from RNAcentral.
UACGGGGGGGGCAAGCGUUGUUCGGAAUUACUGGGCGUAAAGGGUUCGUAGGUGGCUUGCUAAGUCAGACGUGAAAUCCCUCAGCUUAACUGGGGAACUGCGUCUGAGACUGGUGAGCUUGAGUGCAGGAGAGGAACGCGGAAUUCCAGGUGUAGCGGUGAAAUGCGUAGAUAUCUGGAGGAACACCGGUGGCGAAGGCGGCAUCCUGGACCGGCAUUGACGCUGAGGAGCGAAAGCCAGGGGAGCAAACGGG